CUCAAAAAAAACCAAAAAAACCCCCCCAAAAACAAAAAAAACUGUAAAGAGAGUCCUUGGACUCCCCUGAUCUGUGAUUCUAGAGAACUGUGUUGCUCAAAGCAGGAGAUAGACCCUUCCAUGUGGGGUGUUGUUAUGGUGGCACUUACUUUCUUCCUCUUUGUAUCUUUAUCUUAUCUGAGGUGCAUGCAGAUGACUGGAAUUGAGGAAGGCAGUUUUUAAGGCUCCUGGGUAAGCAUGAAUCCAGUGGUAUUUGCUGAUCAGUGUAUUCAUCUAGUUCCACAUUGAGGAUUUCUUCUCCAUUGAAGGAAGCAACGCUUCAUUAGGCCUAUUUAGCUCCUAUGAUGCCUCUUUCACUUCAUCCCUUUCUCCAGUGUCCAACUUCAGUUUCCUCUCCUCCUUCAGUCUCCUCUCCUCUCCUUCAUGAAGGCUUCCUUGACCACCAAAGCCCAUUGAAAUUUUGUCAUCUCAGUGAUGUUCACUGACUUAGCUUUAUUGAGCACCCGUGUUGUGCCAGGUGCUGGGCGGAGAAUGUGAAUCGACAAAGAUGAGCAACAAGUUCCAACUCUUGAACUAUAUGCAGGAAUAGUCAUAGCCCUUUUUAUCUUUGCAAUUGAAUGCAGUCUGUUAAACAGCUCUAGGGAGGCACCGUUCAUGUGGUUUUCUUUGUGAAUGGUGCCCCCUAGAGUUGGACAACUCAAAGGGCAUGCUGAGGGUGAAACUUGAAGGGCGAUUUGUUAGUCAACUUCAAGGGUUGAUUGAAUGUUAAUCACAUAUUGCCAUGCAUUUUUUUUUGCAAUCUAAUUAUAAACUUUUUGAGGAAGAAGAAGAAGAUGAUGAUAAAGGUAGGGCAGUAGAUCAUGUCUGGCCAUCAUUGUUACAUAAUCCAGAAUGUAGCAUCAGCUAACUUGGGAACAGUUAACUCUUACUCAGAAAAUAAAAAUUCUUCAGGGAAGGCUUUCUUCACUAUAUGUGCCUGCUCCCUGCCCUCCAUUUAGAUGAAGUGCUCCGUUAUAUGCUGUCAAAAGAUACUGUGCUUUUC
This 1042-nucleotide long non-coding RNA is filed under the name Homo sapiens (human). Its description in RNAcentral is "non-protein coding lnc-CCDC125-13:1". The record is from RNAcentral. Lineage: Eukaryota; Metazoa; Chordata; Mammalia; Primates; Hominidae.